RNAcentral lists this ribosomal RNA (468 nucleotides) under uncultured bacterium. Its description in RNAcentral is "partial 16S ribosomal RNA". It matches the Rfam family "Bacterial small subunit ribosomal RNA", at positions 28 to 507 of the family's 1533-position model. The record is from RNAcentral.
GACGAACGCUGGCGGCGUGCUUAACACAUGCAAGUCGAACGGAAAGGCCCUGCUUUUGUGGGUUGCUCGAGUGGCGAACGGGUGAGUAACACGUGAGUAACCUGCCCUUGACUUUGGGAUAACUUCAGGAAACUGGGGCUAAUACCGCAUAGGAGCUCCUGCUGCAUGGUGGGGGUUGGAAAGUUUCGGCGGUUGGGGCUGGACUCGCGGCUUAUCCGCUUGUUGGUGGGGUAGUGGCUUACCAAGGCUUCGACGGGUAGCCGGCCUGAGAGGGUGACCGGCCACAUGGGGACUGCGAGACGGCGCAGACUGCUACGGGAGGCAGCGGUGGGGAAUAUGGCACAGUGGGGGGAAGCCUGAUGCGACAACGCCGCGUGCGGGAUGACGGGCUUCGGGUUGUAAACCGCUGUCGCCUGUGACGAAGCGUGAGUGACGGUAAUGGAUAAAGAAGCACCGGCUAACUACGUG